Molecule: unclassified non-coding RNA, 194 nt
Filed under: plant metagenome
Description: partial contains 5.8S ribosomal RNA, internal transcribed spacer 2, and large subunit ribosomal RNA
Source: RNAcentral
GAUGCUCUCAAGAUGCUGUCCCAGGACAUCGGUGCGGUGCUGAAGCUCGUCGAUGCCGUUCUCGACCUCGAGCUUGAGCCGCACCACGGAACGUGAGAUGCAUGCGAUGACGAGAAGCACCCAGGGGGAAGGAAGUUCAUGAAGAUCUCGCUCUUGGCAUUGCUUGGUCUGUGCGUUGUGGUCGAUGCAAGUGG